Molecule: ribosomal RNA, 253 nt
Filed under: uncultured bacterium
Lineage: Bacteria
Description: partial 16S ribosomal RNA
Rfam family: Bacterial small subunit ribosomal RNA
Source: RNAcentral
UACGGAGGGUGCAAGCGUUAUCCGGAUUUAUUGGGUUUAAAGGGUCCGUAGGCGGACUUGUAAGUCAGUGGUGAAAUCUCACAGCUUAACUGUGAAACUGCCAUUGAUACUGCAGGUCUUGAGUAAGGUAGAAGUGGCUGGAAUAAGUAGUGUAGCGGUGAAAUGCAUAGAUAUUACUUAGAACACCAAUUGCGAAGGCAGGUCACUAUGUCUUAACUGACGCUGAUGGACGAAAGCGUGGGGAGCAAACAGG